ACCGAAUAGCCGCGGUUAUGAUUUCAUACGUAGUACCGCCCACCGCGGAACCAAAAUCUAAUUAAUUUUAAAUUACUUUCAUUAUCAGCUCUUAGCAAAGAAAGAUGCGUAGCUAAGAAGCAGUAGUAGUUUUCUGCAGGCAACUUUGUUGCAAACUAGUCUAGAAUAGCUACUCUGCCAGGAUCUCUAAGUUUUGAACGGAGGAGUAUACCAGCCAAGGCCCCAGCGAAGGAUCAUUUCACAAGUAAGCUCUGUGUGUGUAUAGCGAUCAUCAUUUUCCUAGUUCAGCCUUUAGAAGCCUUUUGAGCUGAUUUAAUAUGCUUGUCCACCUACCUAGAUAGCCUCUGAGUGUGUGAAAUAUACUGGAAGAGUAGCUUUCAUUUGCCUCUAGCAAAGAAAGAUGCAUAACUUGGAAACAGUGACAGUUUUCUUUAUUCAACUUCUUACUAAAGUAGUCUACAGUAGUUACUGUGUCAGGAUCUCCUGGUUUCCAACGAAACAGUCAACCAGCCAAGGGCCAGAGCAAGGGAUCACUUCAGAGUGUGGCAAAGAAAGAUGCACCCCUUAGUAACAGUAACAGUUCUCUUCAAGCUACCUUGUAGUUCUAUCUGAACAGUCGAAGAGUCAACCAGCCAAGGACAGAGCGAGAGAUUACUUUAGAGGUCUGUGAAACUAUCAUCACUGCUAUCUGCCAUGGAACCACCACCAUCGUAUGGGUCUGAGAAGGUCUACUCACUGUGACUACUAUCCAGGAUACCUAGGAGUACCUCAUCCCCUGUGUACAGAGGCCUCUUAGUCAUUGUUGUACCAUAGAAUUAAUUGUAAUUGUAUUUAUUAUAAUGUAUGUUCACUUUUGAGAUUGAUAUUGAAAUACAAAUUUCACAUGAAAAUUUCAGCAAAUUUUUGA
This is a long non-coding RNA of Halichondria panicea, 907 nucleotides long. RefSeq lists it as uncharacterized. The transcript has 4 exons. The record is from RefSeq and is a predicted model, not a curated record. Lineage: Eukaryota; Metazoa; Porifera; Demospongiae; Suberitida; Halichondriidae.